ACUGCGUACCUUUUGUAUAAUGGGUCAGCGACUUACGUUGUGUUGCGAGCUUAACUGGAUAAGGGAGGCGAAGCGAAAGCGAGUCUGAAAAGGGCGAUAAGUAGCAUGAUGUAGACCCGAAACCGGAUGAUCUAUCCAUGGCCAGGUUGAAGGUUUGGUAAUACAAACUGGAGGACCGAACCCACUAACGUUGAAAAGUUAGGGGAUGAGCUGUGGAUAGGGGUGAAAGGCUAAACAAAUCCGGAGAUAGCUGGUUCUCCCCGAAAGCUAUUUAGGUAGCGCGUUACAUAUUACUUGCGGGGGUAAAGCACUGUUAUGGCUAGGGGGUCAUUGCGACUUACCAAACCAUGGCAAACUCUGAAUACCGCAAAGUAGAGUGUAGCAGACAGACGGUGGGUGCUAACGUUCAUCGUCAAGAGGGAAACAACCCAGACCGUCGGCUAAGGUCCCGAAGACGCAAUUUAGUGGGAAACGAGGUGGGAAGGCAUAGACAGCUAGGAGGUUGGCUUAGAAGCAGCCAUCCUUUAAAGAAAGCGUAAUAGCUCACUAGUCGAGUCGUCCUGCGCGGAAGAUGUAACGGGGCUCAAAUUGUGCACCGAAGCUGCGGAUAUCUUUUGAUAUGGUAGGGGAGCGUUCUGUAGGUCUGUGAAGAGGGAGUGAGAACUUUCUUGGAGAUAUCAGAAGUGCGAAUGCUGACAUGAGUAGCGAUAAAGGGGGUGAAAGGCCUCCUCGCCGAAAAUCUAAGGUUUCCUGUGCAACGUUCAUCGGCGCAGGGUUAGUCGGCACCUAAGGCGAGGCUGAGAAGCGUAGCUGAUGGCAAACGGGUUAAUAUUCCCGUACCGAAUAUGAGUAUGCGAUGUGGGGACAAAGUGGGUUAGGUCUGCUAUCUGUUGGAAUAGAUAGUCUAAGCGUGUAGGAGCACCUUGUAGGCAAAUCCGCAAGGCGAGUCUGAGGCGUGAUGGGGAGCCGAUCUUUGAUUGGCGAAGGGAUUGACACCGUGCUUUCAGGAAAAGCCACUAAGUGGUAGCUUAUAUUUGACCGUACCGCAAACCGACACAGGUAGAUGGGAUGAGUAUUCUAAGGCGCUUGAGAGAAUAGAGGAGAAGGAACUCGGCAAAAUUGCACCGUAACUUCGGGAGAAGGUGUGCCCUGAUGAUGUGAAGAGUUUGCACUUGGAGCAGUAAGGGGUUGCAAUGAAAAGGUGGCUGCGACUGUUUAAUAAAAACACAGCACUCUGCAAAGACGAAAGUCGACGUAUAGGGUGUGACGCCUGCCCGGUGCCGGAAGGUUAAGUGAUGGGGUGCAAGCUCUUGAUCGAAGCCCCGGUAAACGGCGGCCGUAACUAUAACGGUCCUAAGGUAGCGAAAUUCCUUGUCGGGUAAGUUCCGACCUGCACGAAUGGCGUAACGAUGGCCACGCUGUCUCCUCCUCUAACUCAGCGAAGUUGAAAUGUUUGUGAAGAUGCAAUCUUCCCGCGGCAAGACGGAGAGACCCCAUGAACCUUUACUGUAGCUUUGCACUGGACUUUGAGCCGGUUUGUGUAGGAUAGGUGGGAGACUAUGAAGGUAGGACGCUAGUUUUACUGGAGUCAUCCUUGAAAUACCACCCUGAUUUGUUUGGAGUUCUAACCUAGGAGAGUGAAGCCUCUUCGGGGACCGUGCAUGGUGGGCAGUUUGACUGGGGCGGUCUCCUCCCAAAGGGUAACGGAGGAGUACGAAGGUACGCUUAGGGCGGUCGGACAUCGCCUGUAAAGUGCAAUGGCAAAAGCGUGCUUAACUGUGAGAGAGACAACUCGAA
Molecule: ribosomal RNA, 1797 nt
Filed under: human gut metagenome
Description: bacterial LSU rRNA
Rfam family: Bacterial large subunit ribosomal RNA
Source: RNAcentral